AGGAGAAGGAAUUAACAAAGAUUCCCUUAGUAACGGCGAGUGAAGUGGGAUGUAGCCCAGCACCGAAUCCGCCUGGCCUCGCGCCUUGUGGACCUGUGGUGUUUGGGGUCCCAACUUUCGUUGCGAGUCCAUGUUCCUCAGUCGCAUUGAAGGGCUUUUGCUCCAUAGCGGGUGUCAGACCCUUGUGACGAGCUGGAUCGGGCGAAGGUUUGAGGGACCUCUCGAGUCGGGUUGUUUGAGAAUGCAGCCCAAAGACGGUGGUAAGCUCCAUCGAAGGCUAAACAUUGCCACGAGUCCGAUAGCGAACAAGUACCGUGAGGGAACGUUGAAAAGGACUUCGAAGAGAGAGUUCAAUAGUACGUGAAACCGCCUAGAGGGAAACGAGUGGCUCCGCAUUGUCGGCCAACGGUGUUCAUGUCGAUGUGCUACGAGAUUCGGUCCGAGUUUGUGUACAGUCGAGCAGGUCUCCUUGUGGGAUUGUGUUUUGGCUCACAAAGCUUGCGACAUGAUGAUCGCACUCGAAUGCAUUCACCGUGAGGCAGGGCGUCACGAUCGCUUUUCGGCGAGCUAUCGAUCAUAAAGCUGGUGCGUGCGAACAUCUUCGUGAUGGUUCAACUCGUGCGGUCGUUGGUCGAGUUUGCUGGGGAGCGUGUAACGAUCACCGCGCGUGUGGGCAAAAACGGCCGUACGUUGUCGACGGACGAACCUUGGCGAUGGCCUAACGGCUGUCGUUCUGUUGGUCGUGUAAUCGGCGAGUGGGUCAGCCCUGUGUGGUUUUGGAUCGGUGGCGAUUGAGUCGG
RNAcentral lists this ribosomal RNA (800 nucleotides) under Cocculinidae sp. MNHN IM 2013-42696. RNAcentral's name for it is "partial large subunit ribosomal RNA". It matches the Rfam family "Eukaryotic large subunit ribosomal RNA", at positions 54 to 637 of the family's 3401-position model. The record is from RNAcentral. Lineage: Eukaryota; Metazoa; Mollusca; Gastropoda; Cocculinidae.